RNAcentral lists this long non-coding RNA (1363 nucleotides) under Cricetulus griseus (Chinese hamster). RNAcentral describes it as "lncRNA (ENSCGRG00015033921.1)". Lineage: Eukaryota; Metazoa; Chordata; Mammalia; Rodentia; Cricetidae. The record is from RNAcentral.
UCUGAGGUAUGACGCUUGGCCGCUGUAUGGCCCUGAGCGUCGGUGUUUAGAAAAUUAAGGGUAAAGAGUGCCAUGGAUAUUGUAACUCUUGGCACCGAGGGUAAGGAUGCUCCCAUUCCCUCCUUUUGUUUGAUUAAAUAAGACUUAAGUGUGCGAUGGGCACGUUCCAUAAUGCCUUGUAUAAGGUAGGCCAGUUAGAUGGGUAAUUUCCAUCUGUAGAAGUGCUGGAACUUUUGAGAGGUAUAAGCCGGCCCAUUAUCUGUUUUUAAGAAGCACAUAGGUGGCUAGGUAAAGUCUUAUUUCUGUAAUACAGCUGAACUUCCUUAAACAGUAGCUUAACUUCUUUCUGAGGCAGGGUUUUUCUCUGACUUUGGAGCCUGUCCUGGAAUUCGAUCUGCCGGACCAGGCAGGCCUUGAACUCAUAAAGAUCCAUCUGUCUCUUACUCCCGAGUGCUGGGAUUAAAGGCGUAUGCCGCCAACGCCCUCAACUUAAAGGCGUGUGUCACCAACACCCUGAGCUUAAAGGUGUGUGCUACCAACAUAAUAGAUUAGCAUCUUUUACAAAACAAGAACUUUACAUUGUCAGGCUUUGCUUAAAAAUUCUAAAUUGAAGCUCUUUAAGUAUAAACAUUAAUAAAAUCAAACAUUUGAAAAACUGGUUUUAAAAAGAAAUUUAAAUUCCCUUAAGGUCUUUCUGUAAUAUAUAGAAGCAUUAACAUUUUAAAUCUUAACUGAAAAACUUGUUUCUAAGAUGGUACCUCUGAUUUCCAUGUGGUCACCUUUAGUCAAGAUGGCGGUUUAAGUAUCCUUUUUUUAACUUUAGCAAAAUGGCUACCGUCAGUCAUGUGACCAGCUACAAAAUGGCCGUACCAGGAAAUAGAACAUUUUAAAACAAGCAUACAUAAAUUACUUGAGCAACUUUAGGAUAUGAGGCUUUUUCCAGGCAUCCCAGGCCUCCAAGCAGUGUUGAAUAACAUGCACGGCCUUUUCCCCUAUCAAAGACUGGGAAAGCCAUCUGUAAUUUUUUCCGCUCCUUUGAUGGUAAAAAGGAGUCGGUACCAAAUAGUGGGGGUGCUGAUGGAAGCACACCCGCUGGCAUUUUUGGCAGCCGAUAUCUAUCGGGGUGGUAUCGUGCUGCUUCUUUCUCUAGCUCUGCUUCCUUGCUAGAGACUCGAAACCUAGCCUCUGCCCUGCAACGAAACUGGAAGCCUUGGAGCUGAGCAGCUCAGACUCUGAGAUUUUAGACUCUAGCAAGGAAGCAGAGCUAGAGAAAGAAGCAGCACGAUACCACCCCGAUAGAUAUCGGCUGCCAAAAAUGCCAGCGGGUGUGCUUCCAUCAGCACCCCCACUAUUUGGUACCGAC